GGCUCAGGAUGAACGCUAGCGGCAGGCUUAAUACAUGCAAGUCGUGGAGCAGCAUGAGUAGCAAUACUUGAUGGCGACCGGCAAACGGGUGAGGAACACGUACACAACCUUCCUUCAAGCGGGGAAUAGCCCAGAGAAAUUUGGAUUAAUACCCAUAAUAUAUUUGAUAAGGCAUCUUAUUAAUAUUAAAGCUUCGGCACUUGAUGAUGGGUGUGCGGCUGAUUAGAUAGUUGGCGGGUAACGGCCCACCAAGUCUACGAUCAGUAGCUGAUGUGAGAGCAUGAUCAGCCACACGGGCACUGAGACACGGGCCCGACUCCUACGGGAGGCAGCAGUAAGGAAUAUUGGACAAUGGACGAAAGUCUGAUCCAGCCAUGCCGCGUGAAGGAUUAAGGUCCUCUGGAUUGUAAACUUCUUUUAUAUGGGACGAAAAAAGGGCAUUCUUGUUCACUUGACGGUACCAUAUGAAUAAGCACCGGCUAACUCCGUG
This 490-nucleotide ribosomal RNA is filed under the name uncultured bacterium. Its description in RNAcentral is "bacterial SSU rRNA". It matches the Rfam family "Bacterial small subunit ribosomal RNA", at positions 21 to 507 of the family's 1533-position model. The record is from RNAcentral.